AGUCACAGCCCCAGGCCUGCGUCUCUGCUGGGCGCCGCAGAGGUCUGAGUGCCCAGCAGAGCCCACCACGAGGGCAGGGACACCCACCCUCCGUUGGCCUGUUGUGGAAACCAACGCUGCUUGGAGUUGGAGCUCCGCCCCACACCCACCGCGCUCCCCAGCCCCACCGAGGGAGCCCCCGAGGAGCUUCUGCUCCGUCCAUUUAACACACUGUCCCACCACUCUAACCUGUCUGUUCCAGGCACUGGGGACGUGAGAGAAAGGGGACCCACACCGGCAGUGCCUUCGCUUUUGUGGAGGUCACGGCCCCCGGGAAGGUUACACACAGGAGACAGCGCGGAAGGGAAACCAGGAAGUGACAAACCCCACCAGGGCAGUAAGACCAGAAUCACCUCCGGGCAGGUGGUGCAGCCCACUCCGGGCUUCAAAGGACACAGUGACCCAGCCAGGCCUGAACCUGGGGCUCUGGACUCCUACAGCAGUGCUCUGUCCGCUGCUCUGUGGUGGAUGGCAGGAGGCCCUCGUCCUCUGGGCCCAGCUGAGAAGACCCCAGACCGCUAGGGAAAGAGGCCACUGACGGGAGAGUGGCUCAGGCUGGGGCUUCGCAGAGCCAGCUCAGGACAAACGGCAGCACAUCCGGUCGGGCACACCAUGUGUGCCAUUCCCAUCAAAGCCACAAGCACUGUGGGACUCUCAUUUCACCAGGGAGGAAACAGGCUCUGAGGAUGAGGGGCUUCCUCAGGCAGCACAGCAGGAAGGGCCUGAGCUGGAAUCCGAACCUGGCUGUGUCCGUGUCACCUGCCUGGGGACUCAUUUGGUCAGUCAGCUACCGGGUACCCUGUGUAUUUCUUACUGAUCCCCCAGUUUGCCUGGCAGGGUUUCAGGGCUGAGGACACAGACACCCGUCAUCUCCUUUGUCAAGGGAAGUAGACUCCAGACCAACAGCAAACAAGCUUCCCACUUACUGUAAACACCAUGGAGCUCCUUCUGACACCUUCUAAAGAUUUAGACACAAAAGUCACCUUCUCAGUGAGAUGCUCGAAGGACAGUGCUUUUUAUUACCUAGAAUGCCCUGUACUCAAUUUAUGUGAUCAUCUUGUGUCUCUUCUACUAGAUCAGACAGAGACCGGUAAACUACAGUCCAUCACUUCUGACCACCCACCACCUGUCUGAGUAUGGCAAGUGAGUUAAGAAUGAUUUUUACAUUUUUUAAAUGGCUAAAAACAAUCAAAAGGAUAAUAAUAUAUUGUGA
Long non-coding RNA from Fukomys damarensis (Damara mole-rat), 1252 nucleotides. Lineage: Eukaryota; Metazoa; Chordata; Mammalia; Rodentia; Bathyergidae. The record is from Ensembl.